RNAcentral lists this ribosomal RNA (219 nucleotides) under uncultured bacterium. RNAcentral's name for it is "partial 16S ribosomal RNA". It matches the Rfam family "Bacterial small subunit ribosomal RNA", at positions 122 to 334 of the family's 1533-position model. The record is from RNAcentral.
UAACCUACCCAUCAGAGGGGGAUAACACUUGGAAACAGGUGCUAAUACCGCAUAACAGUUUAUGCCGUAUGGCAUAAGAGUGAAAGGCGCUUUCGGGUGUCGCUGAUGGAUGGACCCGCGGUGCAUUAGCUAGUUGGUGAGGUAACGGCUCACCAAGGCCACGAUGCAUAGCCGACCUGAGAGGGUGAUCGGCCACACUGGGACUGAGACACGGCCCAG